UGGGGGAUAUUGCACAAUGGAGGGAACUCUGAUGCAGCGACGCCGCGUGAGGGAAGAAGGUUUUCGGAUUGUAAACCUCUGUCUUCGGUGACGAAACGAGACGGUAGCCGAGGAGGAAGCCACGGCUAACUACGUGCCAGCAGCCGCGGUAAUACGUAGGUGGCAAGCGUUGUCCGGAAUUACUGGGUGUAAAGGGAGCGUAGGCGGGAAAGCAAGUUGAAUGUUUAAGGUACGGGCUCAACCUGUACAAGCGUUCAAAACUGUUUUUCUUGAGUGGAGUAGAGGUAAGCGGAAUUCCUAGUG
Molecule: ribosomal RNA, 303 nt
Filed under: uncultured bacterium
Lineage: Bacteria
Description: bacterial SSU rRNA
Rfam family: Bacterial small subunit ribosomal RNA
Source: RNAcentral